UCAGGAUGAACGCUAGCGGCAGGCCUAACACAUGCAAGUCGAGGGGCAGCGGGGAUAAGCUUGCUUAUCCGCCGGCGACCGGCGCACGGGUGCGCAACGCGUAUAGAAUCUGCCCUGUACUGGGGAAUAGCCCAGAGAAAUUUGGAUUAAUGCCCCAUGGUAUGUAUUAGCGGCAUCGCUUAUACAUUAAAGGCUACGGUACAGGAUGACUAUGCGUCCCAUUAGUUAGUUGGUAAGGUAACGGCUUACCAAGGCAGCGAUGGGUAGGGGCCCUGAGAGGGGGAUCCCCCACACUGGUACUGAGACACGGACCAGACUCUACGGGAGGCAGCAGUGAGGAAUAUUGGACAAUGGGCGGGAGCCUGAUCCAGCCAUGCCGCGUGCAGGAAGACGGUCCUAUGGAUUGUAAACUGCUUUUGUACGGGAAGAACAAGGGGCACGUGUGCCCCUCUGACGGUACCGUAAGAAUAAGGAUCGGCUAACUCCGUGCCAGCAGCCGCGGUAAUACGGAGGAUCCGAGCGUUAUCCGGAAUCAUUGGGUUUAAAGGGUCCGUAGGCGGGCCAUUAAGUCAGGGGUGAAAGUCUGCGGCUCAACCGUAGAAUUGCCCUUGAUACUGGUGGUCUUGAGUUAUGGUGAAGUAACUAGAAUAUGUAGUGUAGCGGUGAAAUGCAUAGAUAUUACAUAGAAUACCGAUUGCGAAGGCAGGUUACUAACCAUAUACUGACGCUGAUGGACGAAAGCGUGGGGAGCGAACAGGAUUAGAUACCCUGGUAGUCCACGCCUAAACGAUGAUACUAGCUGUCCGGAUGC
Molecule: ribosomal RNA, 811 nt
Filed under: marine bacterium HP27
Lineage: Bacteria; Pseudomonadati; Bacteroidota; Cytophagia; Cytophagales; Cytophagaceae
Description: bacterial SSU rRNA
Rfam family: Bacterial small subunit ribosomal RNA
Source: RNAcentral